GGAAGUCAUCCGUCCGGAUGAGGAGCCUGUCUUGAAAACAGGUGCGCCUAAUCGCCUUUGUGGGUUCGAGUCCCACGGCUUCCC
Molecule: transfer RNA, 84 nt
Filed under: Planctomycetaceae bacterium
Lineage: Bacteria; Pseudomonadati; Planctomycetota; Planctomycetia; Planctomycetales; Planctomycetaceae
Description: tRNA-Ser
Rfam family: tRNA
About the family: Transfer RNA (tRNA) molecules are approximately 80 nucleotides in length. Their secondary structure includes four short double-helical elements and three loops (D, anti-codon, and T loops). Further hydrogen bonds mediate the characteristic L-shaped molecular structure. tRNAs have two regions of fundamental functional importance: the anti-codon, which is responsible for specific mRNA codon recognition, and the 3' end, to which the tRNAs corresponding amino acid is attached (by aminoacyl-tRNA synthetases). tRNAs cope with the degeneracy of the genetic code in two manners: having more than one tRNA (with a specific anti-codon) for a particular amino acid; and 'wobble' base-pairing, i.e. permitting non-standard base-pairing at the 3rd anti-codon position.
Source: RNAcentral